Molecule: long non-coding RNA, 1902 nt
Organism: Oreochromis aureus
Lineage: Eukaryota; Metazoa; Chordata; Actinopteri; Cichliformes; Cichlidae
Exons: 3
Source: RefSeq, a predicted model, not a curated record
UUAACACUAGUGUGGCAGCUGUGGUUAGGGAGCCGUGAUGUUGCACAUUCAUUAAUGUGUCUCUUAUCCCUUAUGGGAAGAGGGAAUGAUAAACUGGCAGUACCUUGAACCAUGGUGGUGUGAUUGUGUCAGCAUGUGUAUUUGUGUGUGUUGAGGGACACUGAGCUUCACUGCUAGCCAAAUUGGUGCCCUAUCCUACCUCAGCUGGACGGUGGAGGGGGGGAGAGAUGCGAGUGCUGUGGUGAUGUGAGCCUGGUGCUUCUCAACAAGUCCAAAACAACCUUCAGGUCACCUUGCCAAAAUAAAUGCUAAAUGUCAACGGCGUGGCUUUAGCCAGCACUGGGCUCAAGGCGGCUCCAAUCAAGGAGAGUUUGAUCUGAAAUUGAAAUGCCAGAGAAGAGCUUGUUUGGAAUUAUGAUGUUUUAGAAUGACUUUGCAUCCGGUUUGUAUGUGGAUUAGUCUUAAGUAAGGACCACCUGCUGUGCUUUUAUAGGCUAAACCGAUGUAGUCAGAUUCUAAAUUAAAGCCCUCUCCCUUUAAGAUCUCAAAUUCUCCAUCACUCAUUUUCCUCCAUGUUCAAAUGACACAUAAGAGCCUUUCAAAGUCAUCAAGCCACACCUCCCUAUACCUUUGUCAUUCCCUCACCCCUUCCUUCUUCCCUUUUUUCACUGUCAGACAUGUGAGGUGAUGACCUGCACUUCACUUGUCUUUCUGGAAGAAGUGCGAACUUCUGCUGGCACAAAUAUGAAAUACAGCUCACAUGCAAACACACAUAUACACACAUACACACGGACCCUCCCACCCCCAUCAGACUCCCGGACCCCAUCUGCACUCUCCUCUCUCCAGCCCCCUAAUUGCAUAUGCACAAAUGCAAAUGUCUAUUAAUUAAUUACUUGACUAAUUAGUGCAGUGGUAUUUUAGGGCGAUAAAUCAAGUGGAGAUGGGGCCGAGGACGGCGGGGCAGGAGGAGGGCUGCACGGAGCAUCGACAAUGAACCCACACCAGAGGGAGUAAUCCUAAUGUACAAGGCUUGUGUGCGUGUGUGUGCUGUGCAGAAAAUGUGCACACCAGAGAUCCUGAAGUAAAGCACCGUUUAAAAAUGCUGAAGAGACCAAAGAGGUGACUGAGGGAGGUGAGUACUUUCUGUCUGGAAGAGGAGGUGAGAAAGGUAGCCAGAGAGAGGGGAGGCGGGGGGAGAGAAGAAAUUGAGGUAGGUUGAGAGAUGACCUCUGCUCUGCCAACUGUGCUGCUUCCUGGCACGCGGCCAAGCUUGGAUGCUCGUUGCACCUAUUUUCAUAAAGGAGAAGGGAUCAGCUACAUACUAGGACUGCUCCUACUGAUCCAUAUUUAUGCUCACAUUGUAAACCUUGUACAAUAGUUCAAUGAGCAUAACAGUUGGCAUCAUUUACGCAGCGAUACUGAUGUGAUAAUUGUGGCAUCUGUGAUUGGGAGGUGAAUAAUUCUGGCAGCCAUGGUAAGCUGUGUAUUCGUCUAUGUAUGUGUGUGUGUGUGCCUGUAGGUGUGCCAGGCCCCCACCAUAGGUACCCAUGGAGAUCUCCGGACUGAAAUAUUCAUUCUUGUUUGCUCGCCCAGACAGUGUGGUCCUAAUUGCAGCAUCAGAAAGCUCCACCUCUCCCUCUCGUCUGGCUUGGCUGCAGCAGAGAUAAACCUCAUCUGGGAGCAGGAUGUCUCUGGCGAAUAUGAGGCUCUGGAGUUUUUCAUCAGUUCCCGUGCCAACCCUACCCAUGCCUGGCCAAGCUGAACCAUCUUGUGGGAUUUUUGGCUUUUAAUUAUACACUCAGUGUACCACUCCAGAUGAUGGCUUCCACAGAUGGCACCCAGUGGUUGAAGGAACCUGAUUCAAUCAGACAACCUGGUUUGGCGUCAAACAUCCACCCUGCU